CCUACGGGUGGCUGCAGUGGGGAAUAUUGCACAAUGGGCGCAAGCCUGAUGCAGCCAUGCCGCGUGUGUGAAGAAGGCCUUCGGGUUGUAAAGCACUUUCAGCGGGGAGGAAGGCGGUGAGGUUAAUAACCUCAUCGAUUGACGUUACCCGCAGAAGAAGCACCGGCUAACUCCGUGCCAGCAGCCGCGGUAAUACGGAGGGUGCAAGCGUUAAUCGGAAUUACUGGGCGUAAAGCGCACGCAGGCGGUCUGUCAAGUCGGAUGUGAAAUCCCCGGGCUCAACCUGGGAACUGCAUUCGAAACUGGCAGGCUAGAGUCUUGUAGAGGGGGGUAGACUUCCAGGUGUAGCGGUGAAAUGCGUAGAGAUCUGGAGGAAUACCGGUGGCGAAGGCGGCCCCCUGGACAAAGACUGACGCUCAGGUGCGAAAGCGUGGGGAGCAAACAGGAUUAGAUACCCGGGUAGUC
This 465-nucleotide ribosomal RNA is filed under the name uncultured Klebsiella sp. RNAcentral's name for it is "bacterial SSU rRNA". It matches the Rfam family "Bacterial small subunit ribosomal RNA", at positions 338 to 795 of the family's 1533-position model. Lineage: Bacteria; Pseudomonadati; Pseudomonadota; Gammaproteobacteria; Enterobacterales; Enterobacteriaceae. The record is from RNAcentral.